AUGCUCUCUUUGGCAGCACAUAUCCUAAAAUUGGAACUCUACAGAGAAGGUUAGCAUGGCCCCUNUGCAAGGAUGACACACAAAUUCAUGAAGCAAUCCAUAUUUCU
RNAcentral lists this small nuclear RNA (107 nucleotides) under Neotoma lepida (desert woodrat). The record is from RNAcentral. Lineage: Eukaryota; Metazoa; Chordata; Mammalia; Rodentia; Cricetidae.